RNAcentral lists this ribosomal RNA (482 nucleotides) under uncultured bacterium. RNAcentral's name for it is "bacterial SSU rRNA". It matches the Rfam family "Bacterial small subunit ribosomal RNA", at positions 28 to 507 of the family's 1533-position model. The record is from RNAcentral.
GACGAACGCUGGCGGCGUGCCUAACACAUGCAAGUCGAGCGAGAAGCUUAUGAUUGAGACUUCGGUUGAUUGAAUAAGUGGAAAGCGGCGGACGGGUGAGUAACGCGUGAACAAUCUGUCCCAGACAGGGGGAUAACACUUAGAAAUAGGUGCUAAUACCGCAUAAGCGCACAGUGUCGCAUGACACAGUGUGAAAAACUCCGGUGGUACAAGAUGGACCCGCGUCUGAUUAGAUAGUUGGCGGGGUAACGGCCCACCAAGUCGACGAUCAGUAGCCGGACUGAGAGGUUGAACGGCCACAUUGGGACUGAGACACGGCCCAGACCUCCUACGGGAGGCAGCAGUGGGGAAUAUUGGGCAAUGGGCGAAAGCCUGACCCAGCGACGCCGCGUGAGGGAAGAAGAUCUUCGGAUUGUAAACCUUAGUCAACAGGGAAGAAGAAAGUGACGGUACCUGUGGAGGAAGCCACGGCUAACUACGUG